AUACCCCAUAAUAUUUAGAAUGGCAUCAUUUUAAAUUGAAAACUCCGGUGGAUAGAGAUGGGCACGCGCAAGAUUAGAUAGUUGGUGAGGUAACGGCUCACCAAGUCUGCGAUCUUUAGGGGGCCUGAGAGGGUGAUCCUCCACACUGGUACUGAGACACGGACCAGACUCCUACGGGAGGCAGCAGUGAGGAAUAUUGGACAAUGGGUGCGAGCCUGAUCCAGCCAUCCCGCGUGAAGGACGACUGCCCUAUGGGUUGUAAACUUCUUUUGUAUAGGGAUAAACCUACCCUCGUGAGGGUAGCUGAAGGUACUAUACGAAUAAGCACCGGCUAACUCCGUGCCAGCAGCCGCGGUAAUACGGAGGGUGCAAGCGUUAUCCGGAUUUAUUGGGUUUAAAGGGUCCGUAGGCGGAUCUGUAAGUCAGUGGUGAAAUCUCACAGCUUAACUGUGAAACUGCCAUUGAUACUGCAGGUCUUGAGUGUUGUUGAAGUAGCUGGAAUAAGUAGUGUAGCGGUGAAAUGCAUAGAUAUUACUUAGAACACCAAUUGCGAAGGCAGGUUACUAAGCAACAACUGACGCUGAUGGACGAAAGCGUGGGGAGCGAACAGGAUUAGAUACCCUGGUAGUCCACGCCGUAAACGAUGCUAACUCGUUUUUGGGAUGUAAGUUUCAGAGACUAAGCGAAAGUGAUAAGUUAGCCACCUGGGGAGUACGUUCGCAAGAAUGAAACUCAAAGGAAUUGACGGGGGCCCGCACAAGCGGUGGAUUAUGUGGUUUAAU
RNAcentral lists this ribosomal RNA (782 nucleotides) under Chryseobacterium sp. AO2_24. RNAcentral describes it as "bacterial SSU rRNA". It matches the Rfam family "Bacterial small subunit ribosomal RNA", at positions 166 to 950 of the family's 1533-position model. The record is from RNAcentral. Lineage: Bacteria; Pseudomonadati; Bacteroidota; Flavobacteriia; Flavobacteriales; Weeksellaceae.